ACGGAAAGACCCCGUGAACCUUUACUAUAGCUUGACACUGAACAUUGAGCCUUGAUGUGUAGGAUAGGUGGGAGGCUUUGAAGUGUGGACGCCAGUAUGCAUGGAGCCGGCCUUGAAAUACCACCCUUUAAUGUUUGAUGUUCUAACGUUGGCCCCUGAUCGGGGUUGCGGACAGUGUCUGGUGGGUAGUUUGACUGGGGCGGUCUCCUCCUAAAGAGUAACGGAGGAGCACGAAGGUUGGCUAAUCCUGGUCGGACAUCAGGAGGUUAGUGCAAUGGCAUAAGCCAGCUUGACUGCGAGCGUGACGGCGCGAGCAGGUGCGAAAGCAGGUCAUAGUGAUCCGGUGGUUCUGAAUGGAAGGGCCAUCGCUCAACGGAUAAAAGGUACUCCGGGGAUAACAGGCUGAUACCGCCCAAGAGUUCAUAUCGACGGCGGUGUUUGGCACCUCGAUGUCGGCUCAUCACAUCCUGGGGCUGAAGUAGGUCCCAAGGGUAUGGCUGUUCGCCAUUUAAAGUGGUACGCGAGCUGGGUUUAGAACGUCGUGAGACAGUUCGGUCCCUAUCUGCCGUGGGCGCUGGAGAACUGAGGGGGGCUGCUCCUAGUACGAGAGGACCGGAGUGGACGCAUCACUGGUGUUCGGGUUGUCAUGCCAAUGGCACUGCCCGGUAGCUAAAUGCGGAAGAGAUAAGUGCUGAAAGCAUCUAAGCACGAAACUUGCCCC
Molecule: ribosomal RNA, 721 nt
Filed under: Escherichia coli
Lineage: Bacteria; Pseudomonadati; Pseudomonadota; Gammaproteobacteria; Enterobacterales; Enterobacteriaceae
Description: partial 23S ribosomal RNA
Rfam family: Bacterial large subunit ribosomal RNA
Source: RNAcentral